Molecule: long non-coding RNA, 329 nt
Organism: Solanum dulcamara
Lineage: Eukaryota; Viridiplantae; Streptophyta; Magnoliopsida; Solanales; Solanaceae
Exons: 3
Source: RefSeq, a predicted model, not a curated record
AAACAUUACCAAACAGUCCCUAAGUUUCAGCUGCGCUAAAGGAAAUUCCGAGGCAAGUUUUGGCGAGUUUUGGUGAAUUUUGGGAAAGGUUCAAGAGACGACGAGGCGAGCAUAGUUAAGAGUAAUCCGUAAGAGGUACAGAUGAUUGGUUUGCUGAUCCGCUCGCUUAGGACAUCCACCAUGUUGGUCGACAGUGCUCCUUUGUCCGGAGCCCUAUUUUGGUACUGACACUUUCUGUUGUAUAUAUAUAUAUGUUGUUCAGGGUACGGCGGGGCCCUGUCCCGUCAUAUGACUAGGAUAUCAUUCUGUAGAGGUCUGUAGACAUGAGA